Molecule: unclassified non-coding RNA, 17 nt
Filed under: Mus musculus (house mouse)
Lineage: Eukaryota; Metazoa; Chordata; Mammalia; Rodentia; Muridae
Description: oocyte_clustered_small_RNA7461
Source: RNAcentral
UCCAAUAUCUGACUGAG